Molecule: ribosomal RNA, 253 nt
Filed under: uncultured bacterium
Lineage: Bacteria
Description: partial 16S ribosomal RNA
Rfam family: Bacterial small subunit ribosomal RNA
Source: RNAcentral
UACGGAGGAUCCAAGCGUUAUCCGGAUUUAUUGGGUUUAAAGGGUGCGUAGGCGGUUUAUUAAGUCAGGGGUGAAAGACGGCAGCUUAACUGUCGCAGUGCCUUUGAUACUGAUGAACUUGAAUGUACUAGAAGUAGGCGGAAUGUGACAAGUAGCGGUGAAAUGCAUAGAUAUGUCACAGAACACCGAAUGCGAAGGCAGCUUACUAUGGUAUUAUUGACGCUGAGGCACGAAAGCGUGGGGAUCAAACAGG